RNAcentral lists this long non-coding RNA (458 nucleotides) under Homo sapiens (human). Its description in RNAcentral is "HSALNT0156148". Lineage: Eukaryota; Metazoa; Chordata; Mammalia; Primates; Hominidae. The record is from RNAcentral.
CGACCUUUUAAAUGUGGCUUCUCUGAGCGCAAGAGCCAGCAACAGAUGCAAUGAGCUUCUCUUCUCCCAUAUACGUUCCAUGGCCCCUGAUGCAAGGCGAAGAUACAAAGAAAGGAUACGAGGGUAACUCGAAAUGACUUCUCUCCCUUCAAGAACAACGUGUUCCUCAAAGCUAACAGGCUCCCCCUGCAAAGCGUGGCUUCUGUGCUGGCUGCUCCCUCUGCCUUCAGUGCUCCUUCUCCAGACAGCUACUUGGACAUCACUCCUCUCACUCAGGUCUGCUCAGGUGUCACUUUCUGCAGCAGGCCUACCUUGACUGUGCCAUUGAAAACACAGCCCACCCUGUUGCCACCAUUCCCCCCACAUACCAUUGACCCUGCUCCACUUUUUUCCCUAUUGCAUUAUUGCCUAACAUUCUGAAUAACUUAUUCAUUGCGCUUAUUAUCUAUCUCUCCCUG